UUCCUUUUCCCCCAAAUCGCCUCCCGAUCAACACACAACAAGAAGAUCUUCUCUACACUUCACUCCGAUCUACCGUCGCUGGUUUGACGCUCGUGUUCUCUGAGUUAUGGACAUCGUAAAUCUUCCUCGCCGCAUUAUAGUUCUCACGAAAUUGAACAGAUUAAGUUAUUGAACAACGAGGUGCUGCAGAGGUGGACUUAUAACUGUUUGAAGAUCGUAUAUUAGACCUUUUCUCCUUCUGUGGUUUGCUCUGCCCGGCUGGCCCUUUCUUGAUUGGGGUUGUAGCAAAUAAUAUUGUUAUUAAGCUGUAAUGGUCCCGGAGAUCACACUUAUCCUCCCAACUAAUGCUGGAGCGAAAAUUCUCGGUGAUGUACUCAACGGAGAUAAUAUCGAGUAGAUUUACCAGGAUUUGGUUCGCCGCCCGUGAUUGCAGCCUCCAUGAGUCUGCACUCGACUAGCUGGGUCAUUCAUAGUAGUGUUUAUGAGUUGCCCUUAAGAUCAUACUUCCGUAUGAUAUUAGAUUUAUCGAUUUAUGUAUUACUUUUUGGUUUUUCGUAUCGCUAUUUAGUAGGUUGUUAUGUGGUGUACGGAUUGGUGUUUUGUUGGGAUGUUUUGUUAGCACCGUUGACGACUAAUAUUGUAUUUUUGGUUGGACU
Molecule: long non-coding RNA, 656 nt
Organism: Andrographis paniculata
Lineage: Eukaryota; Viridiplantae; Streptophyta; Magnoliopsida; Lamiales; Acanthaceae
Exons: 5
Source: RefSeq, a predicted model, not a curated record